RNAcentral lists this ribosomal RNA (440 nucleotides) under uncultured bacterium. RNAcentral describes it as "partial 16S ribosomal RNA". It matches the Rfam family "Bacterial small subunit ribosomal RNA", at positions 338 to 795 of the family's 1533-position model. The record is from RNAcentral.
CCUACGGGAGGCAGCAGUGGGGAAUAUUGCACAAUGGGGGAAACCCUGAUGCAGCGACGCCGCGUGAGUGAAGAAGUAAUUCGUUAUGUAAAGCUCUAUCAGCAGGGAAGAAAAUGAUGGUACCUGAGUAAGAAGCCCCGGCUAACUACGUGCCAGCAGCCGCGGUAAUACGUAGGGGGCAAGCGUUAUCCGGAUUUACUGGGUGUAAAGUGAGCGUAGACGGCAGUGCAAGUAUGGAGUGAAAGGCGGGGGCUCAACCCCCGGACUGCUCUGGAAACUGUACGGCUGGAGUGCAGGAGAGGUAAGUGGAAUUCCUAGUGUAGCGGUGAACUGCGUAGAUAUUAGGAGGAACACCAGUGGCGAAGGCGGCUUACUGGACUGUAACUGACGUUGAGGCUCGAAAGCGUGGGGAGCAAACAGGAUUAGAUACCCGUGUAGUC